CGCAUCUGUGCAUGCAGCAUAUCAAUAAGCGGAGGAAAAGAAACUAACAAGGAUUCCCUUAGUAACGGCGAGUGAAGCGGGAAGAGCUCAAAUUUGAAAUCUUCAAGGUUUUACCUUGACGAAUUGUAGUUUAAAGAAGUGUUUUCUGUUGAAGUUUUGGUAAAAGUUCUUUGGAAUAGGACAUCAUAGAGGGUGAGAAUCCCGUAUUUGACCAUUAUUCUCAGCUGUGUGAUACACUUUCAAAGAGUCGGAUUGUUUGGGAAUGCAGUCCAAAAUGGGUGGUAAAUUUCAUCUAAAGCUAAAUAUUGGCGAGAGACCGAUAGCGAACAAGUACCGUGAGGGAAAGAUGAAAAGAACUUUGAAAAGAGAGUUAAACAGUACGUGAAAUUGUCAAAAGGGAAGCGUUUGACACCAGUGUUGUUUUCUCGAAAAUCAAUUAAAAAGAGUUAGAUUUUGUUGUGUAUUGACCUUAACAGCUUGCAUUUCAAUUUUCUUGCUUUUUUUAAUGCACUUUUCGUUUAACAAGUCAACAUCAGUUUCUUUUGUUGUAAAAAGGUCAUUGGAAGGUGGCUUUCUUUUCGGAGAAAGUGUUUAUAGCCUUUGACUCCUGCAAUCGGAGAGACUGAGGUCUGCAGCGUAGAUCCUUCGGGGUUAGAUACAUUUGUGCUAAGUUAUAGCUUUUUAUAGACAACUUGUUGACUAUGAUUAGUCUUGUAGCUUACUCGCUUAUGCUAUUUUACCUACGCUUAGGAUGUUGACACACGCGCGUGCUCG
RNAcentral lists this ribosomal RNA (774 nucleotides) under uncultured Neocallimastigales. Its description in RNAcentral is "partial large subunit ribosomal RNA". It matches the Rfam family "Eukaryotic large subunit ribosomal RNA", at positions 26 to 644 of the family's 3401-position model. The record is from RNAcentral. Lineage: Eukaryota; Fungi; Neocallimastigomycota; Neocallimastigomycetes; Neocallimastigales.